UACGUAGGGUGCGAGCGUUGUCCGGAAUUAUUGGGCGUAAAGAGCUCGUAGGCGGUCUGUCGCGUCGGUCGUGAGAACUUGGGGCUUAACCCUGAGCUUGCGGUCGAUACGGGCAUGACUGGAGUUCGGCAGGGGAGACUGGAAUUCCUGGUGUAGCGGUGAAAUGCGCAGAUAUCAGGAGGAACACCGGUGGCGAAGGCGGGUCUCUGGGCCGAUACUGACGCUGAGGAGCGAAAGCGUGGGGAGCGAACAGG
This 254-nucleotide ribosomal RNA is filed under the name uncultured bacterium. RNAcentral's name for it is "partial 16S ribosomal RNA". It matches the Rfam family "Bacterial small subunit ribosomal RNA", at positions 524 to 776 of the family's 1533-position model. The record is from RNAcentral.